CACUCAUACGGGAGGCAGCAGUGGGGAAUUUUGGACAAUGGGCGAAAGCCUGAUCCAGCCAUGCCGCGUGCAGGAUGAAGGCCUUCGGGUUGUAAACUGCUUUUGUACGGAACGAAACGGCCUUUUCUAAUAAAGAGGGCUAAUGACGGUACCGUAAGAAUAAGCACCGGCUAACUACGUGCCAGCAGCCGCGGUAAUACGUAGGGUGCAAGCGUUAAUCGGAAUUACUGGGCGUAAAGCGUGCGCAGGCGGUUAUGUAAGACAGUUGUGAAAUCCCCGGGCUCAACCUGGGAACUGCAUCUGUGACUGCAUAGCUAGAGUACGGUAGAGGGGGAUGGAAUUCCGCGUGUAGCAGUGAAAUGCGUAGAUAUGCGGAGGAACACCGAUGGCGAAGGCAAUCCCCUGGACCUGUACUGACGCUCAUGCACGAAAGCGUGGGGAGCAAACAGGAUUAGAAACCCCUGUAGUCC
Molecule: ribosomal RNA, 470 nt
Filed under: uncultured organism
Description: partial 16S ribosomal RNA
Rfam family: Bacterial small subunit ribosomal RNA
Source: RNAcentral